This 425-nucleotide ribosomal RNA is filed under the name uncultured bacterium. RNAcentral describes it as "partial 16S ribosomal RNA". It matches the Rfam family "Bacterial small subunit ribosomal RNA", at positions 354 to 796 of the family's 1533-position model. The record is from RNAcentral.
GUGGGGAAUAUUGCACAAUGGGGGAAACCCUGAUGCAGCGACGCCGCGUGAAGGAAGAAGUAUCUCGGUAUGUAAACUUCUAUCAGCAGGGAAGAUAGUGACGGUACCUGACUAAGAAGCCCCGGCUAACUACGUGCCAGCAGCCGCGGUAAUACGUAGGGGGCAAGCGAUAUCCGGAUUUACUGGGUGUAAAGGGAGCGUAGACGGUGUGGCAAGUCUGAUGUGAAAGGCAUGGGCUCAACCUGUGGACUGCAUUGGAAACUGUCAUACUUGAGUGCCGGAGGGGUAAGCGGAAUUCCUAGUGUAGCGGUGAAAUGCGUAGAUAUUAGGAGGAACAACAGUGGCGAAGGCGGCUUACUGGACGGUAACUGACGUUGAGGCUCGAAAGCGUGGGGAGCAAACAGGAUUAGAAACCCUUGUAGUCC